Molecule: long non-coding RNA, 1222 nt
Organism: Bombus pascuorum
Lineage: Eukaryota; Metazoa; Arthropoda; Insecta; Hymenoptera; Apidae
Exons: 2
Source: RefSeq, a predicted model, not a curated record
UCGAUCUUUCUCCACCGUGUCAUCUUUUUUAUGUAUCGUUUAUUAAGUAAUUAAUCGAUCUUACGAAUAGUAAGAAACAUAGUUAAUACUUCCGAAUGUAUAAUUCGAAUUCAGAAGUUUAUUAUUUGAAUUAUACGAUUCGUUAGUCUUGUCACUCCUUUGUAAAUUUGUCAAGCCUUCUCUUCUUGGCAACUGAGAAAGAGAUGCAUGUUCUAAUUUUUAGAUUACGACGUUUAUCUUAUUCGCGUAACAGAUACUUCUUUCGCGUGUCUAUGCACCUUGUAAAACAUAACUGUACUUUCAUAUCGUGAAUUAUGAAUUUAGGAUACGGAAAAUGAAGACAGAUGCGUAUCUAUGGAAUUUCAUUACAUCGAAUAAGUAGCCCAACCCAUAAAUAAAUCAGGCAAACGGGGAGAAUGACUAACGCAAGAUUACGCGACCCAUCGACCACUUUCGGCCCACGCUAUUUUAUCACAUUUUUAAUUCGAUCUUCGUACAUAUAAGGUUGUGAUACGAUAAACAUAAAUUUUUAGUUUUUGUAUAAAUUCAUCGUGUUAUCAACAAAUCUUGUACGAUUAAAAUAUACAAAAAUUUGUUUACCUUUUCUGACGAUCACGAUAUUUGCAAGACGACAUGAAUUAAUAUUUUAAUCGCUCGUUGCAAUCAUUAUGUAAUUAUAAUUAAUUUGUCUACUCUUUGUUUUAUCUUUUUAUAAAUAAAUAAUAUAUUAAUUUAUCAUAAUAUCAUUAUAUAUACCAACAUAUAGUAUUUAUUCUUAUAAUGUAUAACAAUAUUUACACAAAUGUACAAGUUACACACAUUUUUAAGAAAUGUAUGCACAAAUCACACAAUACCAGAUGAAGAAUUAAAUUGAUAUCCCACAUUAGAGAGCUAGAGCUUACUUAAUUUUGCCUAAACAUAUUACAUUUUUAAACACAAAUUUUGAAAGUUAAAGUUUACUGCAUAUGUAAUUUUCUUACUAUUGCAUAUCUGCAGUAGUAUGUUUUAUUUCUCAGUUCUAACAUUAAACGUCAUGAAUAUUAAUCAAAGGUGACUAAUUCUAAUGUACGUACACUCCCUGUAUAGAAUUAUAAUGUACUGGAAAAAAUAGUCUUAUCAAUGUCUUACUAUCUUCAUUUGGACGACAGUUACAAAUAUCUUUUUCUUGCAAAAUUGUUAUAAAAGUUUAAAUAAAAAAUUAUGAAUAUACAUUUUUUACAAG